RNAcentral lists this ribosomal RNA (253 nucleotides) under uncultured bacterium. Its description in RNAcentral is "partial 16S ribosomal RNA". It matches the Rfam family "Bacterial small subunit ribosomal RNA", at positions 524 to 776 of the family's 1533-position model. The record is from RNAcentral.
GACAGAGGUGGCAAGCGUUGUUCGGAUUCACUGGGUGUAAAGGGUUCGUAGGUGGUCAAGCAAGUCUGAUGUGAAAUCCCAUGGCUCAACCGUGGAACUGCAUUGGAAACUGCAUGACUUGAGUACCGCAGAGGUGGAGGGAAUUCCCGGUGUAAGGGUGAAAUCUGUAGAUAUCGGGAGGAACACCAGUGGCGAGGGCGCUUCACUGGGCGGUUACUGACACUGAGGAACGAAAGCAAGGGGAGCAAACAGG